CGAGAUGUGGCUCAAUUUGGUAGAGCAUUAGGUUUGGGACCUAAGGGUUGCAGGUUCAAAUCCUGUCAUCUCGACCA
RNAcentral lists this transfer RNA (77 nucleotides) under Bacilli bacterium. RNAcentral describes it as "tRNA-Pro". It matches the Rfam family "tRNA". Rfam says of the family: Transfer RNA (tRNA) molecules are approximately 80 nucleotides in length. Their secondary structure includes four short double-helical elements and three loops (D, anti-codon, and T loops). RNAcentral also lists the same sequence under 1 other name. The record is from RNAcentral. Lineage: Bacteria; Bacillati; Bacillota; Bacilli.